RNAcentral lists this ribosomal RNA (460 nucleotides) under uncultured bacterium. RNAcentral describes it as "partial 16S ribosomal RNA". It matches the Rfam family "Bacterial small subunit ribosomal RNA", at positions 338 to 795 of the family's 1533-position model. The record is from RNAcentral.
CCUACGUGGUGCAGCAGUGAGGAAUAUUGGUCAAUGGGCGCGAGCCUGAACCAGCCAAGUAGCGUGAAGGAUGACUGCCCUACGGGUUGUACACUUCUUUUAUAAAGGAAUAAAGUGAGGCACGUGUGCCUUUUUGUAUGUACUUUAUGAAUAAGGAUCGGCUAACUCCGUGCCAGCAGCCGCGGUAAUACGGAGGAUCCGAGCGUUAUCCGGAUUUAUUGGUUUUAAAGGGAGCGUAGAUGGGUUGUUAAGUCAGUUGUGAAGGUUUGCGGCUCAACCGUAAAAUUGCAAUUGAUACUGGCAGUCUUGAGUACAGUUGAGGUAGGCGGAAUUCGUGGUGUAGCGGUGAAAUGCUGAGAUAUCACGAAGAACUCCGAUUGCGAAGGCAGCUUACUAAACUGCCACUGACAUUGAUGCGCGAAAGUGUGGGUAUCAAACAGGAUUAGAUACACGAGUAGUC